Molecule: long non-coding RNA, 389 nt
Filed under: Trifolium pratense (red clover)
Lineage: Eukaryota; Viridiplantae; Streptophyta; Magnoliopsida; Fabales; Fabaceae
Description: long non-coding RNA (TPRA_LNC002376)
Source: RNAcentral
UCUUUGAUUUCCCAUUCUUUUUCUUCUUCUUCUCACUCUGUCGUUAUGAUAUGAUAUGAUGAGACUGUUGGGUUUUAAAAGUAAAAGUGAAAAUUGGGGGAUUUUCAAAUCUGUAACAAAAUAGUGAGCGCUGAGUAAUUUUUCUCACUAAAAUAUUUACCGCUCAAAACACAAAAUUUCAAUUUACCCAUGUUUACCUUAAAAAGUAUAGUUAUAUAUUAAAAUAAAAAAAAAUAACAAAAACUGUUAAAUUACUAAAGUAAUUAUGUACUCUCGAUGGGUUUUUAGAUUUUUAUACUUUUUUGAGGGAGUUUGUUUCAAGGUUUAAAAAAUUAAUUUCUAGAAGAAAAAAAAAAUUCAAGUAUAAUUUUUCUAGGCAUAAUUUUUUC